UACGUAGGGGGCUAGCGUUGUCCGGAAUCAUUGGGCGUAAAGAGCGUGUAGGCGGUUCGGUAAGUCUGCCGUGAAAACCUGGGGCUCAACCCUGGGCGUGCGGUGGAUACUGCCGGGCUAGAGGGUGGUAGAGGCGAGUGGAAUUCCCGGUGUAGCGGUGAAAUGCGCAGAUAUCGGGAGGAACACCAGUAGCGAAGGCGGCUCGCUGGGCCAUUCCUGACGCUGAGACGCGAAAGCUAGGGGAGCGAACAGG
Molecule: ribosomal RNA, 253 nt
Filed under: uncultured bacterium
Lineage: Bacteria
Description: partial 16S ribosomal RNA
Rfam family: Bacterial small subunit ribosomal RNA
Source: RNAcentral